This 855-nucleotide ribosomal RNA is filed under the name uncultured organism. Its description in RNAcentral is "bacterial SSU rRNA". It matches the Rfam family "Bacterial small subunit ribosomal RNA", at positions 527 to 1382 of the family's 1533-position model. The record is from RNAcentral.
GAAGGGACCUAGCGUAGUUCGGAAUUACUGGGCUUAAAGAGUUCGUAGGUGGUUAAAAAAGUUGGUGGUGAAAUCCCAGAGCUUAACUCUGGAACUGCCAUCAAAACUUUUUAGCUAGAGUAUGAUAGAGGAAAGUAGAAUUUCUAGUGUAGAGGUGAAAUUCGUAGAUAUUAGAAAGAAUACCAAUUGCGAAGGCAGCUUUCUGGAUCAUUACUGACACUGAGGAACGAAAGCAUGGGUAGCGAAGAGGAUUAGAUACCCUCGUAGUCCAUGCCGUAAACUAUGUGUGCUAGACGUUGGAAAUUUAUUUUCAGUGUCGCAGCAAAAGCGUUAAGCACACCGCCUGGGGAGUACGACCGCAAGGUUAAAACUCAAAUGAAUUGACGGGGACCCGCACAAGCAGUGGAGCAUGUGGUUUAAUUCGAAGAUACGCGCAGAACCUUACCAACACUUGACAUGUUCGUCGCGACUUUAAGAGAUUAAAGUCUUCGGUUCGGCCGGACGAAACACAGGUGCUGCAUGGCUGUCGUCAGCUCGUGUCGUGAGAUGUUGGGUUAAGUCCCGCAACGAGCGCAACCCUUACUUUUAGUUGCCACCAUUUAGUUGAGCACUCUGAAAGAACUGCCAGUGAUAAGCUGGAGGAAGGUGGGGAUGACGUCAAGUCCUCAUGGCCCUUACGUGUUGGGCUACACACGUGCUACAAUGGCACUCACAAUAGGGAAGCAAAGAGGCGACUCUAAGCAAAUCCUAAAAAAGUGCCUCAGUUCGGAUUGUACUCUGCAACUCGAGUACAUGAAGCUGGAAUUGCUAGUAAUCGCGGAUCAGCGCGCCGCGGUGAAUACGUUCCCGGGUCUU